Molecule: ribosomal RNA, 253 nt
Filed under: uncultured bacterium
Lineage: Bacteria
Description: partial 16S ribosomal RNA
Rfam family: Bacterial small subunit ribosomal RNA
Source: RNAcentral
UACGUAGGGGGCUAGCGUUGUCCGGAAUCAUUGGGCGUAAAGCGCACGUAGGUGGCGACGUAAGUCGGGUGUGAAAGCCCCGGGCUCAACCUGGGAAUUGCAUUCGAGACUGCAUUGCUGGAGUACGGAAGAGGAGGGCGGAAUUCCCGGUGUAGCGGUGAAAUGCGUAGAUAUCGGGAGGAACAUCAGUGGCGAAGGCGGCCCUCUGGUCCAGUACUGACACUCAAGUGCGAAAGCGUGGGGAGCAAACAGG